Molecule: ribosomal RNA, 207 nt
Filed under: uncultured bacterium
Lineage: Bacteria
Description: partial 16S ribosomal RNA
Rfam family: Bacterial small subunit ribosomal RNA
Source: RNAcentral
CACGUAGGUGGAUAGUUAAGUGAGGGGUGAAAUCCCGAGGCUCAACCUCGGAACUGCCUUUCAUACUGGCUGUCUUGAGUUCGGAAGAGGUGAGUGGAAUUCCAAGUGUAGAGGUGAAAUUCGUAGAUAUUUGGAAGAACACCGGUGGCGAAGGCGGCUCACUGGUCCGAUACUGACACUGAGGUGCGAAAGCGUGGGGAGCAAACA